Molecule: ribosomal RNA, 253 nt
Filed under: uncultured bacterium
Lineage: Bacteria
Description: partial 16S ribosomal RNA
Rfam family: Bacterial small subunit ribosomal RNA
Source: RNAcentral
UACGUAGGGGGCGAGCGUUGUCCGGAUUUACUGGGCGUAAAGCGCGUGUAGGCGGCUUCUUAAGUCGGGUGUGAAAGCCCGGGGCUCAACCCCGGGAUGCCGCCCGAGACUGGGAGGCUUGAGGUCGGAAGAGGGGAGUGGAAUUCCAGGUGUAGCGGUGAAAUGCGUAGAGAUCUGGAGGAACACCCGUGGCGAAGGCGGCUCCCUGGUCCGGUUCUGACACUGAGACGCGAAAGCGCGGGGAGCGAACGGG